RNAcentral lists this ribosomal RNA (1432 nucleotides) under uncultured organism. RNAcentral describes it as "16S ribosomal RNA". It matches the Rfam family "Bacterial small subunit ribosomal RNA". The record is from RNAcentral.
UUAACACAUGCAAGUCGAACGGAAAGGCCCUGCUUUUGUGGGGUGCUCGAGUGGCGAACGGGUGAGUAACACGUGAGUAACCUGCCCUUGACUUUGGGAUAACUUCAGGAAACUGGGGCUAAUACCGGAUAGGAGCUCCUGCUGCAUGGUGGGGGUUGGAAAGUUUCGGCGGUUGGGGAUGGACUCGCGGCUUAUCAGCUUGUUGGUGGGGUAGUGGCUUACCAAGGCUUUGACGGGUAGCCGGCCUGAGAGGGUGACCGGCCACAUUGGGACUGAGAUACGGCCCAGACUCCUACGGGAGGCAGCAGUGGGGAAUAUUGCACAAUGGGCGGAAGCCUGAUGCAGCAACGCCGCGUGCGGGAUGACGGCCUUCGGGUUGUAAACCGCUUUCGCCUGUGACGAAGCGUGAGUGACGGUAAUGGGUAAAGAAGCACCGGCUAACUACGUGCCAGCAGCCGCGGUGAUACGUAGGGUGCGAGCGUUGUCCGGAUUUAUUGGGCGUAAAGGGCUCGUAGGUGGUUGAUCGCGUCGGAAGUGUAAUCUUGGGGCUUAACCCUGAGCGUGCUUUCGAUACGGGUUGACUUGAGGAAGGUAGGGGAGAAUGGAAUUCCUGGUGGAGCGGUGGAAUGCGCAGAUAUCAGGAGGAACACCAGUGGCGAAGGCGGUUCUCUGGGCCUUUCCUGACGCUGAGGAGCGAAAGCGUGGGGAGCGAACAGGCUUAGAUACCCUGGUAGUCCACGCUGUAAACGGUGGGUACUAGGUGUGGGGUCCAUUCCACGGGUUCCGUGCCGUAGCUAACGCUUUAAGUACCCCGCCUGGGGAGUACGGCCGCAAGGCUAAAACUCAAAGGAAUUGACGGGGCCCCGCACAAGCGGCGGAGCAUGCGGAUUAAUUCGAUGCAACGCGUAGAACCUUACCUGGGUUUGACAUGGAUCGGGAGUGCUCAGAGAUGGGUGUGCCUCUUUUGGGGUCGGUUCACAGGUGGUGCAUGGCUGUCGUCAGCUCGUGUCGUGAGAUGUUGGGUUAAGUCCCGCAACGAGCGCAACCCUUGUUCACUGUUGCCAGCACGUUAUGGUGGGGACUCAGUGGAGACCGCCGGGGUCAACUCGGAGGAAGGUGGGGAUGACGUCAAGUCAUCAUGCCCCUUAUGUCCAGGGCUUCACGCAUGCUACAAUGGCUGGUACAGAGAGUGGCGAGCCUGUGAGGGUGAGCGAAUCUCGGAAAGCCGGUCUCAGUUCGGAUUGGGGUCUGCAACUCGACCUCAUGAAGUCGGAGUCGCUAGUAAUCGCAGAUCAGCAACGCUGCGGUGAAUACGUUCCCGGGGCUUGUACACACCGCCCGUCAAGUCAUGAAAGUUGGUAACACCCGAAGCCGGUGGCCUAACCGUUGUGGGGGAGCCGUCGAAGGUGGGACUGGUGAUUAGGACUAAGUC